This 653-nucleotide long non-coding RNA is filed under the name Olea europaea (common olive). RNAcentral's name for it is "long non-coding RNA (OEUR_LNC010925)". Lineage: Eukaryota; Viridiplantae; Streptophyta; Magnoliopsida; Lamiales; Oleaceae. The record is from RNAcentral.
UCUACCCCAUUUUCUUUCAGUGGACCGUGCACGUGGUAUACUCGAAAAUUCGGGGAGACCACAACUGUUCCCAUGUUGAGCGAUAAAUAGUAAUAUUUUAUUGUUCAUCCUCCAUCCGGCCGCUCAAACACCCGUUGUAAGAAAGAACAUUUACGGACUGUAAUGGCAGACAACGUCACUUGUCACUACCUCCAUUUUCUUUAAUUAAUUAAUUACACGCGCAGAUACACACAUUUGUGUGUGUAUAUUAGUUGUGUAUGUGUCCUCUAUCUCUCUAUCAAACCCAGGUGAGGUGAGAUGGGAUUUGGCUACUCUAUUCGUUACAAAAAGCUUUUCCAUUCCCUAUUUCCUCCUUUUUAGAGGUCAAAUCCCUUAUCAAGGAAAUUAAGGAAGAUAAAAGCUUCACCUGUAAGAACUUUUUUAUUUGAUUUUUGUUCUUUUAUAUUCCCAUCUUUCAAUAUUAUUUUGUAAAUCAUACGAUUGUAGUACUCUGUUUUGAGUUUUUAUUCUAUUCUUGAAUGUUGAUUCUAGAUGAAGACGUCACUUGUCACUACCUCCAUUUUCUUUAAUUAAUUAAUUACACGCGCAGAUACACACAUUUGUGUGUGUAUAUUAGUUGUGUAUGUGUCCUCUAUCUCUCUAUCAAACCCAGG